Long non-coding RNA from Ostrinia nubilalis (European corn borer), 594 nucleotides. RefSeq lists it as uncharacterized. NCBI's taxonomy places the organism in Eukaryota, Metazoa, Arthropoda, Insecta, Lepidoptera, Crambidae. The record is from RefSeq and is a predicted model, not a curated record. The transcript has 2 exons.
UAUUGUGAUUUGUUGGAGUGACAAGUUUUCGAACGAACAUCUGAGUCACGGGUGAUGACCGGCGCUUUUUGGAGUGUCCUUCCUUUUUGCUUGGUUGGCGGUGAUCGCGAACGGAAGUUCUGUUGUACGUGGUGUGAUAGUGUCCCGAAUUCCAAGAGGUCUGAACCGUGCCGUUCCCUGAUAAACGGGCAGGGCACGCAUCGUCAUCCUCUACGUAAAAAGGGAAUUUUGGAAUAACUCCGAAAGCCCCGUGAUUUUGCGGACUCACUGCCACGUGCUGAGUUCUGUUACUGAAGAUUGUGUGUGGUUGAGCAGUGCUCGGUGGCGAGCCUCUGCGCUGUCUGCUGUUGCUGUUGAUGUUGCUGAUGUUGCCUCCAUAGCAGGAGGUGUUUGGCACCGGCUGUCCCGCAGUGCCAGACGCUUGCUGCGCCCGACGGGUGCGGAGGGGGUUGAGCCGAGUGGUGGCGACUAGCGCGCUAGUAAUCUUAAGUAUUUUUAAUCAGUACCAACCAAACGGCCCAACGACCCAUCCCUUAAUUUUUCUUUUUAAAUAUUUGUGUCUAACCCACAAUUAAAUUGUUGUCAAUUUAAAUA